ACCCAGGGAAUAGUAGUGUCCAUGUCGGUC
RNAcentral lists this non-coding RNA (30 nucleotides) under Homo sapiens (human). The record is from RNAcentral. Lineage: Eukaryota; Metazoa; Chordata; Mammalia; Primates; Hominidae.